RNAcentral lists this unclassified non-coding RNA (162 nucleotides) under uncultured Emericellopsis. Its description in RNAcentral is "sequence contains ITS1". The record is from RNAcentral. Lineage: Eukaryota; Fungi; Ascomycota; Sordariomycetes; Hypocreales.
CUGAGUUUACAACUCCCAAACCCCUGUGAACAUACCUAUGUUGCUUCGGCGGGCCGUCCCGCGGCGCGCCCACGUGGCGUGACCCGGAACCAGGCGCCCGCCGGGGACCCAAACUCUUGCCUUUUUAGUGUCUCCUCUGAGUGGCAUAAGCAAAAAUAAACA